Molecule: ribosomal RNA, 2930 nt
Filed under: Bacillus velezensis
Lineage: Bacteria; Bacillati; Bacillota; Bacilli; Caryophanales; Bacillaceae
Description: 23S ribosomal RNA
Rfam family: Bacterial large subunit ribosomal RNA
Source: RNAcentral
GGUUAAGUUAGAAAGGGCGCACGAUGGAUGCCUUGGCACUAGGAGCCGAUGAAGGACGGGACGAACACCGAUAUGCUUCGGGGAGCUGUAAGCAAGCUUUGAUCCGGAGAUUUCCGAAUGGGGAAACCCACCACUCGUAAUGGAGUGGUAUCCAUAUCUGAAUACAUAGGAUAUGAGAAGGCAGACCCGGGGAACUGAAACAUCUAAGUACCCGGAGGAAGAGAAAGCAAAUGCGAUUCCCUGAGUAGCGGCGAGCGAAACGGGACCAGCCCAAACCAAGAGGCUUGCCUCUUGGGGUUGUAGGACACUCUGUACGGAGUUACAAAGGAACGAGGUAGAUGAAGAGGUCUGGAAAGGCCCGCCAUAGGAGGUAACAGCCCUGUAGUCAAAACUUCGUUCUCUCCUGAGUGGAUCCUGAGUACGGCGGAACACGUGAAAUUCCGUCGGAAUCCGGGAGGACCAUCUCCCAAGGCUAAAUACUCCCUAGUGACCGAUAGUGAACCAGUACCGUGAGGGAAAGGUGAAAAGCACCCCGGAAGGGGAGUGAAAGAGAUCCUGAAACCGUGUGCCUACAAGUAGUCAGAGCCCGUUAACGGGUGAUGGCGUGCCUUUUGUAGAAUGAACCGGCGAGUUACGAUCCCGUGCAAGGUUAAGCAGAAGAUGCGGAGCCGCAGCGAAAGCGAGUCUGAAUAGGGCGAAUUGAGUACGUGGUCGUAGACCCGAAACCAGGUGAUCUACCCAUGUCCAGGGUGAAGUUCAGGUAACACUGAAUGGAGGCCCGAACCCACGCACGUUGAAAAGUGCGGGGAUGAGGUGUGGGUAGGGGUGAAAUGCCAAUCGAACCUGGAGAUAGCUGGUUCUCUCCGAAAUAGCUUUAGGGCUAGCCUCAAGGUAAGAGUCUCGGAGGUAGAGCACUGAUUGGACUAGGGGCCCCUACCGGGUUACCGAAUUCAGUCAAACUCCGAAUGCCGAUGACUUAUCCUUGGGAGUCAGACUGCGAGUGAUAAGAUCCGUAGUCGAAAGGGAAACAGCCCAGACCGCCAGCUAAGGUCCCAAAGUAUACGUUAAGUGGAAAAGGAUGUGGAGUUGCUUAGACAACCAGGAUGUUGGCUUAGAAGCAGCCACCAUUUAAAGAGUGCGUAAUAGCUCACUGGUCGAGUGACUCUGCGCCGAAAAUGUACCGGGGCUAAACGUAUCACCGAAGCUGCGGACUGUUCUUCGAACAGUGGUAGGAGAGCGUUCUAAGGGCUGUGAAGCAAGACCGGAAGGACUUGUGGAGCGCUUAGAAGUGAGAAUGCCGGUAUGAGUAGCGAAAGAGGGGUGAGAAUCCCCUCCACCGAAUGCCUAAGGUUUCCUGAGGAAGGCUCGUCCGCUCAGGGUUAGUCGGGACCUAAGCCGAGGCCGAAAGGCGUAGGCGAUGGAUAACAGGUUGAUAUUCCUGUACCACCUCCUCACCAUUUGAGCAAUGGGGGGACGCAGGAGGAUAGGGUAAGCGCGGUAUUGGAUAUCCGCGUCCAAGCAGUUAGGCUGGGAAAUAGGCAAAUCCGUUUCCCGUGAAGGCUGAGCUGUGAUGGCGAGCGAAUUAUAGUAGCGAAGUUCCUGAUUCCACACUGCCAAGAAAAGCCUCUAGCGAGGUGAGAGGUGCCCGUACCGCAAACCGACACAGGUAGGCGAGGAGAGAAUCCUAAGGUGAUCGAGAGAACUCUCGUUAAGGAACUCGGCAAAAUGACCCCGUAACUUCGGGAGAAGGGGUGCUCUGUUAGGGUGCAAGCCCGAGAGAGCCGCAGUGAAUAGGCCCAGGCGACUGUUUAGCAAAAACACAGGUCUCUGCGAAGCCGUAAGGCGAAGUAUAGGGGCUGACGCCUGCCCGGUGCUGGAAGGUUAAGAGGAGCGCUUAGCGUAAGCGAAGGUGCGAAUUGAAGCCCCAGUAAACGGCGGCCGUAACUAUAACGGUCCUAAGGUAGCGAAAUUCCUUGUCGGGUAAGUUCCGACCCGCACGAAAGGCGCAACGAUCUGGGCACUGUCUCAACGAGAGACUCGGUGAAAUUAUAGUACCUGUGAAGAUGCAGGUUACCCGCGACAGGACGGAAAGACCCCGUGGAGCUUUACUGCAGCCUGAUAUUGAAUGUUGGUACAGCUUGUACAGGAUAGGUAGGAGCCUUGGAAACCGGAGCGCCAGCUUCGGUGGAGGCAUCGGUGGGAUACUACCCUGGCUGUAUUGACCUUCUAACCCGCCGCCCUUAUCGGGCGGGGAGACAGUGUCAGGUGGGCAGUUUGACUGGGGCGGUCGCCUCCUAAAAGGUAACGGAGGCGCCCAAAGGUUCCCUCAGAAUGGUUGGAAAUCAUUCGCAGAGUGUAAAGGCACAAGGGAGCUUGACUGCGAGACCUACAAGUCGAGCAGGGACGAAAGUCGGGCUUAGUGAUCCGGUGGUUCCGCAUGGAAGGGCCAUCGCUCAACGGAUAAAAGCUACCCCGGGGAUAACAGGCUUAUCUCCCCCAAGAGUCCACAUCGACGGGGAGGUUUGGCACCUCGAUGUCGGCUCAUCGCAUCCUGGGGCUGUAGUCGGUCCCAAGGGUUGGGCUGUUCGCCCAUUAAAGCGGUACGCGAGCUGGGUUCAGAACGUCGUGAGACAGUUCGGUCCCUAUCCGUCGCGGGCGCAGGAAAUUUGAGAGGAGCUGUCCUUAGUACGAGAGGACCGGGAUGGACGCACCGCUGGUGUACCAGUUGUUCUGCCAAGGGCAUCGCUGGGUAGCUAUGUGCGGACGGGAUAAGUGCUGAAAGCAUCUAAGCAUGAAGCCCCCCUCAAGAUGAGAUUUCCCAUUCCGCAAGGAAGUAAGAUCCCUGAAAGAUGAUCAGGUUGAUAGGUCUGAGGUGGAAGUGUGGCGACACAUGGAGCUGACAGAUACUAAUCGAUCGAGGACUUAACCAA